RNAcentral lists this unclassified non-coding RNA (213 nucleotides) under Hevea brasiliensis (rubber tree). Lineage: Eukaryota; Viridiplantae; Streptophyta; Magnoliopsida; Malpighiales; Euphorbiaceae. The record is from RNAcentral.
UGGCUUGGAAAAAUCAAACACUCCUUCCAGAAAAUACUCGCCUAGAGUCUACAGCUACAAGCCAGUGAGAAAUUUGUUACCCACACUUGGAAGCAUAGAGCCAAAGUUGUUCUACCUACAGUAAACAAAUCAAGUUUUUGAGGUGAAAUUCAUGAGAUAAUGUUGGGAUGCUUUUAUUCACAAAAGGAAGCAGAUGAAACAAAGAGAAGCAUA